GUGGGGAAUAUUGGGCAAUGGGCGCAAGCCUGACCCAGCAACGCCGCGUGAGGGAAGAAGGCUUUCGGGUUGUAAACCUCUGUCCUUGGUGACGAAACAAAUGACGGUAGCCAAGGAGGAAGCCCCGGCUAACUACGUGCCAGCAGCCGCGGUAAUACGUAGGGGGCGAGCGUUGUCCGGAAUUACUGGGCGUAAAGGGUGCGUAGGUGGCCUUUUAAGUUGGAUGUGAAAUACCCGGGCUUAACUUGGGGGGUGCAUCCAAAACUGGGAGGCUAGAGUGCAGGAGAGGAAAGCGGAAUUCCUAGUGUAGCGGUGAAAUGCGUAGAUAUUAGGAGGAACGCCAGUGGCGAAGGCGGCUUUCUGGACGGUGUCUGACACUGAGGCGCGAAAGCCAGGGGAGCGAACGGGAUUAGAAACCCGGGUAGUCC
This 428-nucleotide ribosomal RNA is filed under the name uncultured bacterium. Its description in RNAcentral is "partial 16S ribosomal RNA". It matches the Rfam family "Bacterial small subunit ribosomal RNA", at positions 354 to 796 of the family's 1533-position model. The record is from RNAcentral.